AUCCCAAUCACUAUGCGUUAUAAUUUUUCGCGUGAGAGAGUAACCAAAUAAGCGGGUGACCGAUUAUGAAUCGAAAUCUCAAUCUUGCGAGACAGAAAUGGGGACGGAACUAGCUUAUGAAGUCAGGGGCGGAGUUUCCCCCCGUGAUCCUAUUCUUUCUCAGACACUAUCCAAGCAUAUUCUGUUGAAUGGGACAACCAAAAGUCAGGAUUAGGUCCCCGGGAUAGAGCGCCAUAUAGAGAUCUGGUUCUCCCUGCAGUUUUUACUCUUCACCCGUCAAGGAUAGAAAAGAAACUGACGCUUUGAUCUUGGAAGAGCAAUUCUUUAAUUGCCCAAGAUUUGCAUAU
This is a long non-coding RNA of Andrographis paniculata, 347 nucleotides long. RefSeq lists it as uncharacterized. The transcript has 4 exons. NCBI's taxonomy places the organism in Eukaryota, Viridiplantae, Streptophyta, Magnoliopsida, Lamiales, Acanthaceae. The record is from RefSeq and is a predicted model, not a curated record.